This 253-nucleotide ribosomal RNA is filed under the name uncultured bacterium. RNAcentral describes it as "partial 16S ribosomal RNA". It matches the Rfam family "Bacterial small subunit ribosomal RNA", at positions 524 to 776 of the family's 1533-position model. The record is from RNAcentral.
UACGUAGGCAGCGAGCGUUGUUCGGAAUUACUGGGCGUAAAGCGUGCGUAGACGGUGGCGUAAGUCGGGUGUGAAAGCCCCGGGCUCAACCUGGGAAUUGCAUUCGAGACUGUGCCGCUAGGGUGCGGAAGAGGGAAGCGGAAUUUCCGGUGUAGCGGUGAAAUGCGUAGAUAUCGGAAGGAACAUCAGUGGCGAAAGCGGCUUCCUGGUCCAGCACCGACGUUCAGGCACGAAAGCGUGGGGAGCAAACAGG